GGCGCAGGCGGGUCGAUAAGUCGAAAGUGGAAUCCCGGGGCUCAACCUCGGACGUGCUUUCGAUACUGUCGGCCUUGAGUAUGGGAGAGGAAGGCGGAAUUCCGGGUGUAGCGGUGAAAUGCGCAGAUAUUAGGAAGAACACCAGUGGCGAAGGCGGCUCUCUGGAACGAUACUGACGCUGAGACGCGAAAGCGUGGGGAGCGAACA
This 207-nucleotide ribosomal RNA is filed under the name uncultured bacterium. Its description in RNAcentral is "partial 16S ribosomal RNA". It matches the Rfam family "Bacterial small subunit ribosomal RNA", at positions 566 to 774 of the family's 1533-position model. The record is from RNAcentral.